This 430-nucleotide ribosomal RNA is filed under the name bacterium. Its description in RNAcentral is "partial 16S ribosomal RNA". It matches the Rfam family "Bacterial small subunit ribosomal RNA", at positions 355 to 776 of the family's 1533-position model. The record is from RNAcentral.
UGGGGAAUAUUGGACAAUGGGCGCAAGCCUGAUCCAGCCAUGCCGCGUGUGUGAAGAAGGCCUUUUGGUUGUAAAGCACUUUAAGCGAGGAGGAGGCUACUUGGAUUAAUACUCUAGGAUAGUGGACGUUACUCGCAGAAUAAGCACCGGCUAACUCUUUGCCAGCAGCCGCGGUAAUACAGAGGGUGCGAGCGUUAAUCGGAUUUACUGGGCGUAAAGCGUGCGUAGGCGGCUUCUUAAGUCGGAUGUGAAAUCCCUGAGCUUAACUUAGGAAUUGCAUUCGAUACUGGGAAGCUAGAGUAUGGGAGAGGAUGGUAGAAUUCCAGGUGUAGCGGUGAAAUGCGUAGAGAUCUGGAGGAAUACCGAUGGCGAAGGCAGCCAUCUGGCCUAAUACUGACGCUGAGGUACGAAAGCAUGGGGAGCAAACAGG